GUGCUCGCUUCAGCAGCACAUAUCCUAAAAUUGGAACAACGCAGAGAAGAUUAGCAUGGAUCCCAUGCAAGGAUGACACGCAAAUCUGUGAAGCCAUCCAUAUUUUU
RNAcentral lists this small nuclear RNA (107 nucleotides) under Ursus americanus (American black bear). The record is from RNAcentral. Lineage: Eukaryota; Metazoa; Chordata; Mammalia; Carnivora; Ursidae.